RNAcentral lists this ribosomal RNA (520 nucleotides) under uncultured bacterium. RNAcentral describes it as "partial 16S ribosomal RNA". It matches the Rfam family "Bacterial small subunit ribosomal RNA", at positions 28 to 507 of the family's 1533-position model. The record is from RNAcentral.
GACGAACGCUGGCGGCGUGCCUAAUACAUGCAAGUCGAACGCACGCUCGGUUAGAGUGAAGGAGUUUGCUCCUGAUUGGUAAACAGUUGAGUGAGUGGCGGACGGGUGAGUAACACGUGGGUAACCUGCCCUAAAGUGGGGGAUAACAUUUGGAAACAGACUCUAAUACCGCACAAAACCUAACACCGCAUGGUGUAGGGGUGAAAGAUGGUUUCGGCUAUCACUUUAGGAGGGAUCCGCGGUGCAUUAGUUAGUUGGUGAGGUAAAGGCUGACCAAGACCGUGAUGCCUAGCCGACCUGAAGGGGUCAUCGGCCACACUGGGACUGAGACACGGCCCAGACUCCUACGGGAGGCAGCAGUAGGGAAUCUUCCACCAUGGACGAAAGUCUGAUGGAGCAACGCCGCGUGAGUGAAGAAGGUUUUCGGAUCGUAAAACUCUGUUGUUGGAGAAGAAUGUAUCUGAUAGUAACUGAUCAGGUAGUGACGGUAUCCAACCAGAAAGCCACGGCUAACUUCGUG